Molecule: ribosomal RNA, 384 nt
Filed under: Triticum aestivum (bread wheat)
Lineage: Eukaryota; Viridiplantae; Streptophyta; Magnoliopsida; Poales; Poaceae
Description: partial small subunit ribosomal RNA
Source: RNAcentral
AUGGUUCACAUCUUCAUCAAUAUCCCAUCCUCCUGCAACAUUGACCCCAAAUACCGAAAGAUGUCCUUCCGAGGUAUCACCCGGCCAUCAAGCCUAACCUCCUCCUCCUCACACCUAGUAGUACUGAAACCGCACAUCAUGUACUCGGUUUUAGUUCUACUAAUAAGCCUAAACCCUUUCGAUUCCAAGGUUUGUCUCCAUAACUCAACUUCCUAUUUAUCAACAUCAGUCAAACACCAACAACAUAAUUCCACAUCAAGAACAGCUGGUACAGCCAAUAUCAAUGUCUUCCUGGCUCUAAUAAGAAUAUUGCUCCGUACAAGUAAGAAACCAGAUUACACUGCACACAAGCAUGCAGUGCAAAAUUUCCAAGGUAUAACAUAG